UUCCAGUAGCAAUAACCACGCACCUGCUAUGCAAAUUAUUGCGCAAUCGGUGUUCAGGCAAAAAGUUGACCGAAAAAUGUGGGGUGUUUUUAACGCUUCACUACGAGCAUGAAAGAAGUAAUCCAAAUGAAAAAUUUGCAUAUGUGGGAGGAGAUAUGUCCAAAUAAGCAGUAUCUGACCUUGCCAUGACCGGAAAAUAAAAAAUCAUUGCUCAAAAGUGAAAGUAAAAAAUUCGAAGGCCAAUAUUUUGCAGAAAGAAUGCAGAUUCACUUGAAAUUUAGCUUUUAAUAAAUCAAUUAUUGUGUUUUUUAAUAAAUUCUAACCAUUUGAAUCAGGUAUAUGCGCGUGAAAUAAUAUAUAUUUAUUUAUUUCCAACACCACUAUUCCUGUGCAGUAGAGUUACUCCCCUUUACGCGGAAUUAUUACAUUGUUGUUACGGUGAAUUCGGGAGCGAUCUUUUGAGCAGUUUUAUGGAUAUCCGUACGAUAAACACACUAUUUGUUUGGCAGGAAGAGAAAUCGUCUCAUUUGGUGUCGAUGCAGAGAACAUGACUGACAAAGAUCUAUUGGACAGUGAUUAUUAUGGGAUUUCACAAAUACAUGAGCACAGUUACAUUGUGAUAUCGGACUCUGACGAGACACAACCACCUUCACCUUUUGGUUGACAGGAAUAUUCCAGUGAAAGAUCAGUUAUUUAACAGCCUUUUUGACAAACAAAUUCCUGGUGCUGCCAUUCCUAAUCAACCGACAUAUCAGAAUUUUGGAUAAGAAUUCAGAUUACUGGCUGCAUAUUCAACCGAAUUUUUGGGUCCUGGGUUGGUGGGGGGUAACGUGUUUCAGACCAGAAUCCUGCCGGACCAUCCAAUUGCAAGGACAUCUAACAUAGCUGAAAUGUAUCUGUAAUGAAUUAUUAAAAGUUUGGAUAAAAAAUGUGUUCUUAAAUCAUUAUUUUAAACAAAUUAUACACCCAGGUUGACUAUUUUGAAAAAAUGAAAAAUGACAAUUUUUACACAUGGGAUUUUUCAAUGUUUCCGCAUUCACUAACAUUACUUUAGACAAUGUAAUAUAGACAAACCAUACAUAUUUGGAAAUGGUUUACUAAUAUCUAUCAGAAAAUGUAUAAUUUUACUGGGUUUAUGUCAAUUUUCAAAAUCAGUGGUUAUUGCUAGUUCCAGUAAAUUUGUUAAUAUGAAAUUCUUUAAUGUUUGAGAUAUUUAGAUAAAUUAUUACCCCGUAGUCAGCAUAUGCUGAGAUUUCUUGCU
Molecule: long non-coding RNA, 1261 nt
Organism: Dreissena polymorpha
Lineage: Eukaryota; Metazoa; Mollusca; Bivalvia; Myida; Dreissenidae
Exons: 5
Source: RefSeq, a predicted model, not a curated record